GGACUCAGAAAGGCAAAACAGCUUGCUCAAGGGCUCACAACUAUUUAGGUGGUAGAGCUAAGAUAUGAACCUACCUCUGACACCAAAGUGCACUUCAACACCCUACUAUCACCCAACAAAGAAUUCUGGCCACAGAAUCACCUUGCUGCGGUAUUCCUGACUGAAUCAAGAUACGCUGGGGAAGAGGCAUCUGAAGAUAGCCCGGGUUCUGACCUCGGCCCUGCUGCCUAACUGCCUGGUGACUUCAGGUAUUCUAAUCACAGAAUUACUGGAGCAUCAAGAAGUGCCUGCAUGCUUGGAAGGGCUUCCAGGCAGAUGAACACACCUCAGCACCGGGUGGCAUUUUCCCAGGGUGCAACCCGGACCGGCUCUGGGUCACACUGACAAGCCUCUCCGACUCCCCAGGCUGGGUUGGGUGCUCCUCCCUCUCAUCCCACAGCGCUAUGUCUCAUGUCUUCUGGAAAACUUGCCAAUCCCUAGUGACAACAGGGUUAACAAUUUCCAGAGACAGCCCGUACAUAGAAGGAAUGUUUACUGAAAAAAAUGAAGAGGGGUCAGGGCAAGGCGAGGAGCAAGAAGCACCCCCAAGGAAACAGAGAAGACCAGUACAACUGUACCUCUUUGCCAGCUGCACCAUCCGUACCAGUCUCCUGGGGUGGAAGUGUCCAGCACAGAGACUGCCACACUGCAAGACG
This 695-nucleotide long non-coding RNA is filed under the name Homo sapiens (human). RNAcentral describes it as "PEF1 and COL16A1 antisense RNA 1". Lineage: Eukaryota; Metazoa; Chordata; Mammalia; Primates; Hominidae. The record is from RNAcentral.